RNAcentral lists this ribosomal RNA (474 nucleotides) under uncultured bacterium. Its description in RNAcentral is "partial 16S ribosomal RNA". The stretch from base 20 to 303 matches the Rfam family "Bacterial small subunit ribosomal RNA", at positions 47 to 358 of the family's 1533-position model. The record is from RNAcentral.
AGCGAACGCUGGCGGCAGGCCUAACACAUGCAAGUCGAACGAACCUUUCGGGGUUAGUGGCGGACGGGUGAGUAACACGUGGGAACGUGCCUUUAGGUUCGGAAUAACUCAGGGAAACUUGUGCUAAUACCGAAUGUGCCCUUCGGGGGAAAGAUUAAUCGCCUUUAGAGCGGCCCGCGUCUGAUUAGCUAGUUGGUUGAGGUAAUGGCUCACCAAGGCGACGAUCAGUAGCUGGUCUGAGAGGAUGAUCAGCCACAUUGGGACUGAGACACGGCCCAAAAGACGACGGGAGGCAGGAGGGGGGAUUCGGACGCAAGGGCAGACGGCGGGACGGAGGAAGGGUGGAGGAAUGAUGAAGGACGUAGGGUUGUAAAAUUCGUUCGCGGGGGAAAGUAAUGAGGGUAGACGGAGAAGAGGCCCCGGAUAACGUCGUGCCAGAGGCCGAGAGAAGAAGAGAAGAGUACACGUAGGAGC